This 72-nucleotide transfer RNA is filed under the name Camelus bactrianus (Bactrian camel). It matches the Rfam family "tRNA". From Rfam's summary of the family: Transfer RNA (tRNA) molecules are approximately 80 nucleotides in length. Their secondary structure includes four short double-helical elements and three loops (D, anti-codon, and T loops). Further hydrogen bonds mediate the characteristic L-shaped molecular structure. tRNAs have two regions of fundamental functional importance: the anti-codon, which is responsible for specific mRNA codon recognition, and the 3' end, to which the tRNAs corresponding amino acid is attached (by aminoacyl-tRNA synthetases). tRNAs cope with the degeneracy of the genetic code in two manners: having more than one tRNA (with a specific anti-codon) for a particular amino acid; and 'wobble' base-pairing, i.e. permitting non-standard base-pairing at the 3rd anti-codon position. RNAcentral also lists the same sequence under 2 other names. The record is from Rfam by way of RNAcentral. Lineage: Eukaryota; Metazoa; Chordata; Mammalia; Artiodactyla; Camelidae.
GAGGGCAUAGCUCAGUGGUAGAGCACAUGCCUAGCACACACAAGGUCCUGAGUUCCAUCCCCAGUACCUCCA